CCUGCCUCAGCCUCCUGAUAGCUGGGACUACAGGUGCCCGCCACCACGCCCGGCUAAUUUUUUUGUAUUUUUAGUAGAGACGGGGUUUCGCCAUGUUAGCCAGGAUGGUCUCAAUCUGACCUCGUGAUCCGCCCACCUCGGCCUCCCAAAGUGGUGGGAUUACAGGUGUGAGCCACCUCCCCGGCUGGUGCUACACACUUUUAAAUGACCGGAUCUGUGAACUCAGAGCAAGAGCUCUCCUAUCACCAAAGGAAUGGCUCAAGCCAUUCAUGAAGAUCUGCCCCCACGAUCCAAACACUUCCCACUAGGCCCCAUCUCCAGCACUGAGGAUUCCAUCUCAACAUGACAUCUGAGAAAUUAUGGAACUGUGGAUGUGACAGAGCCAUUGCUGAAAAAUAUGUUUGUUGGCAGGCUCAUAAGCAGAAGGGACUCACCUUAUCUCAGAUAAGACGCUGGACUUGGACUUUUGUUAAUGCUGGAAUGAGUUAAGCCUUUGGGUUACUGUUGAGAAGGGAUAAUUGUAUUUUAAAAUGUGAGAAGGACAUGAGAUUUGGGAGGGGUCGGGGCAAAAUGAUAUUGUUUGUUUCUGUGUCCCCAACCAAAUCUCAUGUUGAAUUGUAAUCCCCAUGUGUCAGGGCUGGGACCUGGAGGGAGGAGAUCAGAUCAUGGGAGCAGAUUCCCCCAUGCUGCUCUUGUGAUAGUGAGUGAGUUUUCACAAGUUCUGAUGAUUUAAAAAUGUGGCACUUCCCCCGCUCUCUUCUGCUGCCUUGUGAAGAAGGUGCUUGCUUCUCCUUCACCUUCUGUCAUGAUUGUAAGUUUCCUGAGGCCACCCUAGCCAAGCAGAAAUGUGAGUCAAUUAAAUAUAUUUUCGUUAUAAAUUACCCAUUCUCAGAUAGUUCUUUAUAGCAGUGUGAAAACAGACUAAUGCAAUCAUUAUCAAGUAUUCUGUACUGUAUGUAAUUGAAUGUGACAUCACUUUUGUACAACUGGCAAUACAAUAAGCUUGAUUUCACUAACAUCACCACAAAAAUGUGAGUUUUUCAUUGUAUUGUGAUGUUACAAUGUCUACGAUGUCACUAGGCUAUAAGGACAUUUUAGGUCCAUUGAAAUCUUAUGGGGCCACCAUCGUAUAUGUGUUCAAUCACUAAUUGAACGUUUUUAUAUGGCAUAUGACUGUAUAGGUCAAACAUUAUCAAAUUGUAUACCUUAAAUAUGUGUAGUUUAUUGUAUUUCAAUUUUAUCUCAAUAAAACCACUUUAAAAUAUCCAUACUGUAAGGACUCAUCACCCCAUAACAAAACAAUGUUUCAAGAAUUAUGUAGAACAGUUUAUUUUUAAAAACCCACCAUCAUACAGAAAAAAAGAAAUCCAUACAGUAUAAAAAGAGUCUUCUCUCUUGAUCAUACUUAUGGCCAAGUUAUCAUCAGUUGUUUUUAUGGGGUACAUUUUUGUCUAAGUGUGCCACAUAUUAUGCUUACACAAAGAUAUCUGGUUUGUGGGACAACUCAUCUGUCCAUUUAUAGUUCUUAAUAAUCAUCUGCACUGUAACAAAAAGUAAUCCUAGUAAUGCUUAGUACAUUUCUCUUAAUAGUGAACAAAUGUCAACAAAAUUUACAUUCAAGGUAAUAUUGCUCCUUUGUCCUAUGGAAUAUGUACUGAGAAAAAAUAUGGAUUUCCAGCUAUCACCCUAUAUAAAUGAAAAGUUGUAGGCUCAUAAGUUAUUCAAAUUUCAAUUAUUCCCCCAUAAAAUAAAUGACUAGUCAUAAACAAAUUCAAAUAUUUAGCUCAAAUUUUUUGAUUACAUUAAUUUAUAUAAUAAAACACACCAAUUAAAAAUGAUUUUGGACAACAAAACUCGAGAUAGUCUUAAGCUAAAUAACAGAUUACAUUACUUUAUAUACAGCAUCUUCUUAUUUUUGUGAAUUUAUAUAUGUCAAAAUGAUGCACAGAUUAUUAUUCUGUAUCUAAUUAUGUAGUCUAAAUAUUUUAAAAUUUGGCUAAAAUACAGGAAAAAGUGACCAGUUUCUCAUAAAUGUGUUUAAUGUGUACUUCCUAAUAGCCUUGGUUUCUUAUAUUAUCAAAGCUCUUAUACAUCGACAAGUAGAUAAAUGUAGAACCCAGUAUACACUUAUAACAUGACUGCAGAGGGCCUAGAAAGUUGUCUCCUAUACUAAAAAUCAUGAAACAUAAUAAUAACAGCAACAGCAGUGGCAAAAACAUAUUGCUAUCUCCACAUCACCAACCUUCUAUCCACUAUGAAUUGUUCAUGUAACUUGAUUCUAUAGCAUUUACUUCUAUCAACAAGUAAUUAACAAAGAGGAAAAUUUUUCUCAUUUUAAAAUAAAAAUAAUUUUCAGAAGAGUUACAUGUCAUUAAAACAAUUGUAUAAUAUAGUUUAUCCAAUUACACUUAUUGAAACAUUUAGUGGGUACUCACUCUAUGCAUGCCACUAUGCUGGGGCCAGAGAUACGAGGAUAAAUAUGUUGCAUUUUUUGCCCUUAAAGUUAUUAUGAUCUUCUAUAGGAAAUAGAGAAAAAUUGAUCAAUUAUUAUAUACAGCAGCAGUCUCCAACCUUUUUGUCAUCAGGGACCAGUUUGUAGAAGAUAAUUUUUCCAUGGACCAAGGCAUAGAUGGUUUGGGGAUAAAACAGUGCCACCUCAGAUCAUCAGGCAUUAGAUUCUCAUAAGGAGUGUGCAACCUAGAUCCCGCACAUCUGUGGUUCACAAUAGUGUUGUUAGAGCUCCUAUGAGAAUCUAAUGCAGCUACUGAUCUGACAGGAGGCGGAGCUUAGGCGGUAAUGCUGUCUAACCCACUGCUCACCUCCCACUGUGUGGCCCAGUCACCAACUGGUACCAGGGGUUUAGGGACCCCUGAUAUAUGGCGUUUGCAAGUAGUAUAAAAAUACACAUGAUAGCCCUUUACCCAAGAUAGUGUGCUAGUGUGUGUGUGUGUGUGAGUGUGUGUGUGUAUGUGUGUGUGUGUGAGAGAGAGGAUAGAAUUAGAAAUGAGAACAGGUUCAGGGGAGGCCUCUUCAAGAAUAAGUGAGAUUGCUCUUGAAAUAAAUUUUGAAGGAUAACUAAGAGUUGAUGAAGCAAAGGAAGGUAGGCCAGUAUUCACAUGCUAGGAAACAACCCAUUUAGAGGCUCAAGGAAAGCUUGCACAUUCAGGAGCCUGCAAAUUGUUGACUAUGACUAGAAUGUAGAGUGUAAAGAAGAAAGUGGCAGUAGAGAGAAAUAAAGGUGAGAUGCAGAGAAUUAAAAUCAUCAUGACCUUGUAUUGUGUGUUAAAAAGUUAAGACAUCAUCCUGAUCAUAUUUUUUCCCUCUAAUAAUUUUAGCUAAGAGUAGUCAUUACGAAAAAGAAGACUUUUAUGACUUUUAUGGGGAGAAUGAGGACAGCACUAACAUUUAUUGAAGACCUGUUUUGUCUGAUGGUUAGGAAGAGUCUGACUCCAUGUUUUAUAUUUGACUGCACAGCAUUUAGGCUCCUACCCUGCCCUGCCCAAACACUAUAUAUCUGGUACUAUAGACAAAUAAACCUGCAUGCCUUUUGAGAUUUUGGGUCCUGUGGAAAUUUGAACUUCACAGCCCCAGACUGAAUGUGAGAACUCCUCUCCAGCCCCACUCUCUCGCCAUUACAAAAGUCAAACCAACUCUCUGCUCAUUGUUCUUGCCGUUCUAGCCAGAUCAGCUUGCAGUUACCUUGCUCUAUGUACAAUUUCCUGAUGUGAAUAAUAAACUCCUUGCAAAUUAUCAAGGUGUGUGAAGUGUCGUCAGUCUGGAUAUGUGGCCUAUUAACUG
This 3798-nucleotide long non-coding RNA is filed under the name Homo sapiens (human). RNAcentral describes it as "HSALNT0284235". The record is from RNAcentral. Lineage: Eukaryota; Metazoa; Chordata; Mammalia; Primates; Hominidae.